CUUGAAAAACCACCGUUGUAAUUCAACUACAACAACA
RNAcentral lists this transfer RNA (37 nucleotides) under Crotaphytus reticulatus. RNAcentral describes it as "partial tRNA-Gln". Lineage: Eukaryota; Metazoa; Chordata; Lepidosauria; Squamata; Crotaphytidae. The record is from RNAcentral.